Molecule: ribosomal RNA, 559 nt
Filed under: Trichoderma virens
Lineage: Eukaryota; Fungi; Ascomycota; Sordariomycetes; Hypocreales; Hypocreaceae
Description: eukaryotic LSU rRNA
Source: RNAcentral
GUGAACGUUACCAAACUGUUGCCUCGGCGGGAUCUCUGCCCCGGGCGCGUCGYAGCCCCGGACCAAGGCGCCCGCCGGAGGACCAACCAAAACUCUUAUUGUAUACCCCCUCGCGGGUUUUUUACUAUCUGAGCCAUCUCGGCGCCCCUCGUGGGCGUUUCGAAAAUGAAUCAAAACUUUCAACAACGGAUCUCUUGGUUCUGGCAUCGAUGAAGAACGCAGCGAAAUGCGAUAAGUAAUGUGAAUUGCAGAAUUCAGUGAAUCAUCGAAUCUUUGAACGCACAUUGCGCCCGCCAGUAUUCUGGCGGGCAUGCCUGUCCGAGCGUCAUUUCAACCCUCGAACCCCUCCGGGGGGUCGGCGUUGGGGAUCGGCCCUUUACGGGGCCGGCCCCGAAAUACAGUGGCGGUCUCGCCGCAGCCUCUCCUGCGCAGUAGUUUGCACACUCGCAUCGGGAGCGCGGCGCGUCCACAGCCGUUAAACACCCCAAACUUCUGAAAUGUUGACCUCGGAUCAGGUAGGAAUACCCGCUGAACUUAAGCAUAUCAAUAAGCGGAGGAA